UCAUAACUAGUUAUUUAAUAAAUGAGUAUUCCCGCCAUUUUUUUUUUUUUUUUCACAAUUGGAAGUCUAUGUGUAGCCGCUUUGUUUUAAUUUUUCACCCCUUCGCAUCUUUGUGUCUGUGAGAACUGAGAACUGAGAACUGAGAAAUCCCAACUCCCAAGUCCCAGCAACAAAUUGUCUCUGUUUUUUUUUCUGUAAGUUUUCUAUUCUCUACUUUCAUUUUUCUUCUCCCAUCAAAAUCCUAGUCUCUCUCCUUGUUUCUUUACUUUUUGUCUCACAUUCACUUGCACAUAUUUCACGACGUCUGAAGGUCAGUUUCUUUCUUCGCUCUCAUUCUCGUUCGAUUCUUGUUUUUCUUUGUCGAUUAAUUCGUUUGUGCGUUUAUAAUUGUUUUGAUUCCAUUCGAUAUACGUGUUUUUCUUUUGCUAAAUGGGUCUAAUAAUGAAAUAGAAAUUGGUGAUUUUGAACUCAUCUUAGAGGAUGGUAAUGGAGUGGUUUGGCGUGGGAUGGUCAUCAACUUUGUGGCUUUUAGUAUUUUGAUUUUGUCACUUUGUGUUCUUUGUUUGAUUGUGUUUCUGUCUUUUUCUCUUUUCUGGGUCUUGUUUUUAUGGGUCAAUCCUUUUGUCUUCAAGAAAAUAAAAUACCCAAUCGAGUUUUCGUGUUCUUUUCUUUUAAUGUUCUACUUCUUAUCAAUGAGCAGUAUAUACUUUGUAUUCAUGUGUAAUAAGCUUGCAUUCGUUCAUGUGAUUACCUAACCGUAGAUAAAUCAAAUAUGGAAAUAAAAUGUCCGAUAUCCGGCAAACUGAUCCGAAGUUCAAAAAAUGGACCAAGUGGAUUCGAGUCUAGGUUUUUGAGCGAGUUUGAAGAACUUGGGGGGAUUGGCAGCGGGGGCUACGGUUCUGUUGUCAAAUGUGUUAAUAAGGUAGACAAUCAAGAAUAUGCUGUGAAGAAGGUAUUGCUUGACACUGAGGAAGGUUUAGACUAUGAUCUAGUUAUCAGUGAGGUUUUGUGCUUGGCGGUAGUUUGUCAUGAGAAUGUCAUUCGCUAUUACUCCGCUUGGUUCGAAGCUGAGAUAGUGGGUGCAUUUGAUUUGACUGCGGAUUCUGGAGAGGUUUCUUGUGAAACCGGAGGGCCAUGUAUACAUCCAACAAGAGAUUUGUUCAACUUCGUUGAACAAAGUCCUGGAGGCUGAAUCUUUUUUGAAAGAUGAACAUGUUUGGGAUAUUUUUUCUCAAAUCGUGAAAGGAUUACAACAUAUUCAUUCGAAAGGGAUAAGACAUGGCGAUCUAAAGCCCUCCAACAUAUUCAUUACGGGUGAACGCAUUGUGAAAAUCGGGGAUUUUGGCUUAGGCUCUUUUUUGGCUGGAAUGGUGAAGGUUCCUAUUGCUAGGGGUUACUAUGUUGCUCCCGAGUUAACAGCAGAAUUGCCAGAGUUUCCCCUAGAAUCAGACAUCUUUAGUCUAGGGAUGAUUCUGUUUGAGAUGUUUGAUGGAUUUGGUUUCGGCACAACUCAAGAGAGGUACGAGGUGUUGGGAAACUCAGAAAAGAGAGGAGAAUAUUUGGAGAAAUCUUCGUUGGAUAUCAAGAAGAAGGAUUUGAUCAAAGUUUUGAUUUCUGAGGAAUUUACAAAAAGGCCUUCUACUUCAGAGAUUCUUGAGCUUCUCAAGGAUGCCACAUCCCUGGACGAAAACAUAGAGACGGAUGAGUACGAUGUAUAAAUAGGCUGCGGGUUGUUUGAUGAUGUAGAAUAGGAGGUAGAGACAAGACUACUCAUACCACACUACCUUGGAGACCCUUGCAUCAAUUGCAGCAGUUAUUGUGAUUCAUUACAAACUAUUGCUGGAUGUCAUAGUUUUGAUACUUUGUAUAUAAUAGCUCGCUAUGUUGCUGUAGCUCUUCAUCACAAUAUUACUUGUAAAUGACUAGAUAGCACUACAGUAUCACUCCCAAAAUAGGAAGAGAAAAUACGUACAUGAAUAUGGAUGCUUGAUACCUGAAUACUGUUUUUGAAUCUUUCUUAUUUCUGUUUUGGACAGAUGUAAAUCUUGAUUUACGUACUGUUGAGAGGCAAUUGUCAAGCUUCAGAGUUUUAGUUUCGAGAAAUGGCUGAAUAUAGUGUAUGCAAUAAGUUUUUUUUUGUA
This is a long non-coding RNA of Beta vulgaris subsp. vulgaris (sugar beet), 2141 nucleotides long. RefSeq lists it as uncharacterized. The record is from RefSeq and is a predicted model, not a curated record. The transcript is spliced from 5 exons. NCBI's taxonomy places the organism in Eukaryota, Viridiplantae, Streptophyta, Magnoliopsida, Caryophyllales, Amaranthaceae.